Molecule: small RNA, 29 nt
Filed under: Bombyx mori (domestic silkworm)
Lineage: Eukaryota; Metazoa; Arthropoda; Insecta; Lepidoptera; Bombycidae
Description: ovarian small RNA-20898
Source: RNAcentral
UACCUGGCUACUAAAUUCUUGUACAAGUA